Long non-coding RNA from Symphalangus syndactylus (siamang), 1304 nucleotides. RefSeq lists it as uncharacterized. The record is from RefSeq and is a predicted model, not a curated record. NCBI's taxonomy places the organism in Eukaryota, Metazoa, Chordata, Mammalia, Primates, Hylobatidae.
CCUGGGUCCUGCCCACAAGGAGCCUUUUGGCUUAUCUCUGCAUCCAUCAACUAGGAGAUGUGACUCUUCUUUUCUGUCUGGAUUCUACAAAAACAAGUGAUUGUGACAUAUUAUCAAACCCAGCAACUAGACGAUGUGAUUUUUCUUCCCUGCUUGAACCCUGGAUUUGCUGUGUAUUGUGAUAUAUGGCUGGGUCCAACAUUAAGGAGAGAUUGUGACAUAUCUCUGGAACCAGAACCUUGGUGCUGUGACUCUUCCCUCCUGCUGAAGCUGUGCCCACACAAGGGAAAGUGACUUAUUCCUGGGCCCAGCACACAGGUCUUUUCCCACAGAGAGCAUUGUGAAAUAUCACUGGGCUCGGCCACCAGGUUAUGUGACUCUUCUGCCUGUUUCCUGCUUCCAGGAAAUAUUGUGACAUCCCUCAUACAGCAUCCAGGUGAUGUGACUCUUCUGCUCAUUUUCUACUUACAGGUGGAUGGUGAAUCUAAGACCAGGAUUCAACACAUCUAGAAGGCUUUGACUCUGAUACCACUCACAGAAGGCUCUGAGACUCUUCUAUUUUCUCUAGGUCAUGCAAAUGGAGGCAGAUUGUGACAUAUCAUAGAGCCAACACAACACACAGUCUGCAGGUGGAAUUGGGACUCUCAUGCAUGGAUACAGUUCAUCAUUGACAUUGUGACUCCUGUACUUGGAUGCAACUCACAGGAGGUCAUGCAAAUGGAGGAGGAUUGUGACAUAUCAUAGGGCCAACACAAAAAUAAUGUAAAACUCCUGCCUGAGCCAUGCCCAUAGAAGGCACUGUGACAUAUCACCAGUCACAGCACUCAGGUGGUAUUUUGACAUAUAACUGCACCCAGCACACAGGUGAAGCAUCUUGUAUGAUCAUCCUGCCAAAAGUUAUGAGUGUCACCCUCACACAUUGGACAGAGACCUCUGGUUAUGUCUUGAAUCUUGUACAUGGACACAGUCCACAGUUGGAAUGUCAUAUGUAGAUCCAGCCACGGAUUAUGUAUAAUCUCAGAAGAUGUGUAUGGGUUCAAGUUAACAAAGGAGUGGAUUUGUGAUGGUCAACACUGAGUGUCAACUUGAUUGGAUUGAAGGAUACAAAUUAUUGAUCCUGGAGGGAUUGUGACAUAUAACAAGGCCCAGCACCUGGGUGAUGUGACUCUCAUUUCCUGCCUGAGUUUUGCCUGCAGAAUAGCCUGUGACAUAUAGCUGGGUGGAGCUCCCAGUGGAUGUGACUGUCCUGCCUGGGCCCUGUCUACAGUGCACAUUGUGACAUCUCCUUCCUGGGUCCUGCUUAU